This 156-nucleotide unclassified non-coding RNA is filed under the name sea anemone metagenome. Its description in RNAcentral is "partial contains small subunit ribosomal RNA and internal transcribed spacer 1". It matches the Rfam family "Eukaryotic small subunit ribosomal RNA", at positions 1678 to 1829 of the family's 1831-position model. The record is from RNAcentral.
GCUACUACCGAUUGAAUGGUUUAGUGAGGACUCCUGAUUGGCGCCGCCGCCCCGGCAACGGAGCAGCGGACUGCCGAAAAGUUGUUCAAACUUGAUCAUUUAGAGGAAGUAAAAGUCGUAACAAGGUUUCCGUAGGUGAACCUUCAGAAGGAUUCA